GGACGGGUGAGUAAUGUCUGGGAAACUGCCUGAUGGGGGGGGAGUAACUACUGGAAACGGUAGCUAAUACCGCAUAACGUCGCAAGACCAAAGAGGGGGACCUUCGGGCCUCUUGCCAUCAGAUGUGCCCAGAUGGGAUCAGCUAGUAGGUGGGGUAACGGCUCACCUAGGCGACGAUCCCUAGCUGGUCUGAGAGGAUGACCAGCCACACUGGAACUGAGACACGGUCCAGACUCCUACGGGAGGCAGCAUG
This 253-nucleotide ribosomal RNA is filed under the name uncultured bacterium. RNAcentral's name for it is "partial 16S ribosomal RNA". It matches the Rfam family "Bacterial small subunit ribosomal RNA", at positions 100 to 353 of the family's 1533-position model. The record is from RNAcentral.